CACGGUAGCACAGGAGAGCUUGCUCUCUGGGUGACGAGUGGCGGACGGGUGAGUAAUGCAUGGGGAGCUGCCCAAUCGAGGGGGAUACCAGCUGGAAACGGCUGCUAAUACCGCAUACGCCCUGAGGGGGAAAGGUGGGGACCUUCGGGCCUACCGCGAUUGGAUGCACCCAUGUGGGAUUAGCUAGUUGGUGAGGUAACGGCUCACCAAGGCGACGAUCUCUAGCUGGUCUGAGAGGAUGACCAGCCACACUGGAACUGAGACACGGUCCAGACUCCUACGGGAGGCAGCAGUGGGGAAUAUUGCACAAUGGGGGAAACCCUGAUGCAGCCAUGCCGCGUGUGUGAAGAAGGCCUUCGGGUUGUAAAGCACUUUCAGUAGGGAGGAAGGGUUGAUGUCUAAUACGCAUCAACAUUGACGUUACCUACAGAAGAAGCACCGGCUAACUCCGUGCCAGCAGCCGCGGUAAUACGGAGGGUGCAAGCGUUAAUCGGAAUAACUGGGCGUAAAGCGCACGCAGGCGGUUAGAUAAGUCAGAUGUGAAAUCCCCGGGCUCAACCUGGGAACUGCAUUUGAAACUGUCUGACUAGAGUCUUGUAGAGGGGGGUAGAAUUCCAGGUGUAGCGGUGAAAUGCGUAGAGAUCUGGAGGAAUACCGGUGGCGAAGGCGGCCCCCCGGACAAAGGCUGACGCUCAGGUGCG
RNAcentral lists this ribosomal RNA (701 nucleotides) under uncultured bacterium. RNAcentral's name for it is "bacterial SSU rRNA". It matches the Rfam family "Bacterial small subunit ribosomal RNA", at positions 63 to 755 of the family's 1533-position model. The record is from RNAcentral.